Molecule: ribosomal RNA, 497 nt
Filed under: uncultured bacterium
Lineage: Bacteria
Description: partial 16S ribosomal RNA
Rfam family: Bacterial small subunit ribosomal RNA
Source: RNAcentral
GUGGACCGCUGGCGGCGUGCCUAAUACAUGCAAGUCGAGCGAACAGACGAGGAGCUUGCUCCUCUGACGUUAGCGGCGGACGGGUGAGUAACACGUGGAUAACCUACCUAUAAGAUUGGGAUAACUUCGGGAAACCGGAGCUAAUACCGGAUAAUAUAUUGAACCGCAUGGUUCAAUAGUGAAAGACGGUUUUGCUGUCACUUAUAGAUGGAUCCGCGCCGCAUUAGCUAGUUGGUAAGGUAACGGCUUACCAAGGCAACGAUGCGUAGCCGACCUGAGAGGGUGAUCGGCCACACUGGAACUGAGACACGGUCCAGACUCCUACGGGAGGCAGCAGUAGGGAAUCUUCCGCAAUGGGCGAAAGCCUGACGGAGCAACGCCGCGUGAGUGAUGAAGGUCUUCGGAUCGUAAAACUCUGUUAUUAGGGAAGAACAAAUGUGUAAGUAACUAUGCACGUCUUGACGGUACCUAAUCAGAAAGCCACGGCUAACUACGUG